AUACAGAGGGUGCAAGCGUUAAUCGGAUUUACUGGGCGUAAAGCGCGCGUAGGCGGCUAAUUAAGUCAAAUGUGAAAUCCCCGAGCUUAACUUGGGAAUUGCAUUCGAUACUGGUUAGCUAGAGCGUGGGAGAGGAUGGUAGAAUUCCAGGUGUAGCGGUGAAAUGCGUAGAGAUCUGGAGGAAUACCGAUGGCGAAGGCAGCCAUCUGGCCUAACACUGACGCUGAGGUGCGAAAGCAUGGGGAGCAAACAGGAUUAGAUACCCCGGUAGUCC
This 274-nucleotide ribosomal RNA is filed under the name uncultured bacterium. Its description in RNAcentral is "partial 16S ribosomal RNA". It matches the Rfam family "Bacterial small subunit ribosomal RNA", at positions 523 to 796 of the family's 1533-position model. The record is from RNAcentral.